CGGGUCGUACGACCUCGGCAUGACUUGCGCGUGAUAAUUCUUUGGAAAUAAUAAUAAUUGACAUUGUUCCAUUGGCUUUAGAUACAAAUUGUUAAAUGAUGAAAAUAAAUUUGGAAAUUUCUAUUAGUAAAAGGAUUGUUUAUUAUUUUCGGUUAUUGAGUUUCUAGUUAUAUUAUGCAAUCCAUGCUUAAUUAUAACAUCGGUAUUUUAUUGUUAGCCUAUAGUAGGUGUCAGAGUCGACACUUCGUUACUACUCCUUCUAGGAUAGACGGGAUACUUACUAGGUACGCGUUAAUUUACGUACUCAUACUACACUUGCUACAUAUGUUUGUGAAGGUACAUAUAUGUCUCGUGGCCUUAUGGGCGCAGAGGUGUGGUUAAUGCGGGGCUUAAGUGAGCUGCAUUUCAUGUUAUGAUCCGCAGUCAGCAGAGUCUCCUUCAGAGUUAUUUAUAUUUUUCCUGUCUAAUUUGUAUUCCGGGCAGAUGCUGUAUUUUAUUUUACUCCUUAGUUGAUACUCAUGUACUUGUGACGCCGGGUUUUGGGUGUGAUUAUAGGUUGUUCAAUACUGUAGUUGUGAAAAUAUUAACACCUAGUCUAUAAAUCUUGAUCUCUUACUAUUUAAUUGAAGGAAAAAUUUUGAUUUCAAAAAUACUAAAAUGAGUAAUCAAGUUAAUCAAUUAUCGUUUGCUUGCCCGACAACGGUGUUAGGCGCCAUCACGACCUUUGAUGGAUUUGGGUCGCGACAACAUGGUAUCAGAGCCAGGUUCACUUAGGUCUCACGAGUCAGGAGCGAGGCUAGUAGAGUCUUGCGGAUCGGUACGGAGACAUCUGUACUUAUCUUCGAGAGGCUAUAGGAUUGUUAGGAGCACUUUCCUUCUUGAUUCCUCAUCGUGCGAUUUGAUUACUUUGAGGCUUAUGCCUUUAUUUCUUCUUAUUCAGUCUUAUGCGACGUGGAGCACUGGUUAUCAAUUAGGAAUCGAGGAAUUGUAAUAAUACUAAAGAUGUGGUGCAGGAUAUUUCUCCCUGCAUAAUUGUUUGGCUAUUGUCGUUGCCUUGCGGAAGGAUGCUCUGUCAUUCUAGCUUAGUAUAAGUACUGCCUAUGGUUUUGGUAUUUGGGCAUUGAUUGUUAUGAUGAUUCAUGUGUUGCUAUCGCAUAGUGAUGUUGUAAUGGUCGGGUGCUUAUUUAUGGAUCGCGGCAAUAAAUGACUUGAUAGAAGGAUUUUUUAGUUCGCGACUUAGAGGUUCUGCAAUUAGUUCCAGGGGAGAAAAGGCAAUCGGACUAAGAAUGUUCAGGUUUGGGUCGAUAGCGUGAUGAAACUUGGUAUUUUCGAGCACGGUGGAAUUUUCAUAUGUGAUGUAGCAUCGUUGUCCUUGUUGGAUGUGUUAAGUUUGCUGGUAUUAUGGUGUUUUUCAAUUCUCCUUUGGGGCAAGGUUGAAAUGGUGCCAAGGAAGCAGCUGUUAAAGAUCAUGGUGUGCAGUGGUUUAGGGUCGAAUCGGUGUUCCUAGUGUUAAUGGCUCGAGAAGGAUGAUCUUCGGAGAGGUUUAGAGUUGGUAGCGAUCUAUUGAUUCAAGUGCUAAGGGGAUGGAUUUUUAUUUAAGUCAAAUAUUGGGCAGCGAAGGACGAGGAAGGGCAUGUAGGAGGUGUCUUGCGGGGGUUAAAUUUCUAGAAGGCCAAGUGUGAGGAGCAGAAGUCGAGUAGUUGCUCAAAUGAGAGGGUUUGACCAAAGUGGGAGAGUGGCAGAGUAGCACAUGGGUUUUGUGCUAGGAUAGCUACAAGCCUUGAGGAAAGUUUAGAGUUUAUUUGGGAUUUCAUGGUGGGCAGUGACUAGGCCUACGGACUUAAUUUGGAAUAUUGGAUACUAUACUGAGGAAGAUUGGAUACAACGAAAAAAAGUUGCUCGAUAUGAAGAGGGAUGCAACAUGACUUUGGAUUGGAAUGUGUCGUUGCACCUUUAGUUGAUGUCAAUAGGGAGUGAACAAACUUGUACAGCUAGUGAAUAAGCACAGGCUCAGGAUGGUUUAUGGGUUUCAUAGUAAUUGCACUCAAUGCAGCGUCAUUGGAAGGUGUCGGCAUGGAAUUUCCAUAGGUGAGUUAUCUCCUGUGAGCAGGUUAGCGGUUGUGUGGUGUUGACGAAGCUUCUACAAAGCAUUUUACUGGCUAUCCGGUAAGAGGUUGAAUAUGUAAAUGUAGCUAGUGAUUCAGAAUGUUCAUAAAAUGUUAACAAAAGGAUUUUAAGGAAUUUGGCGGGUUUAUUGUGCAAGAUCAUGUCAAUAGGGGAUAAGGAAUCUUGGUGGGUUCCAGGGUUAUGUAAUAAGUAGCUUCAAGCUAAGUGGGAGAGUCCCAUCGCCUACGAUUGGAUCGCAUGGUUGUCUACUUGUGAGGUUUAUGGUUAUCGGCAUAUUGGUGGGUUAUUACAACUAAGGAAAGAAAACAUCAUUGUAAUUUGAGCAAAGGAUUUGGGGAAUGUGUGAUAUAUUUGGCCUUAUCGAUUCAUGUUCAAGUUUUGGGAAGACUCGGAGUUUAUACUCCGUGUGGAUCUGAUGUACAGGGGAAGGAAUUCAACUGAUUGCUUCCUUGAGAGGGUGUUCAUGUGCUAGGAGAGCCUUGGAGUUGAUUAUAUUCGGUACCAAGUUGGAGUGGGUGACUCUCAAAAAUGGUCCUAGCGGGUUCAAAAAGUAAAGUGCAGUGCCUAAGGAUUUUGAGUAUAUAGUAAGGUUAAGUAUCGAGCUUUUGCAGCGAAAUAUGAAAGGGACUUGGAGUGUUCUAUGUUAUCUUCGGUCUGUGGUGCAGCAUUUGAGGAAUGGGGGAAAAUAACUUCGGAUUCAUAGAGGAAUUAUCAGAAUGGGUGUACCAGUUAAAGAUGCGGAUAUGCGCACAAGGAGGGUAUGAGAUGGUUCGUGGGUUUGGAGACAACAUGGUCUCGUGGAAUGAGGUCACUCGGGAUGAGUGUGGAUUUGGGUUCGUUAUAUUUUGAAUGGAGCUAUUAUUAUUCCUAAGGCAAGUCUAGAGUAAAUUAGAAGAAGCCGGAUCAAUUAGCAAUAGUUGAAUUGGCAUAAUGGUGGCAAUGAUCAGUUCUUUCGGUGUGUUAAGUUAUACAUGUGAUUUGUGGCGGUUCCUGCGAGGCUCGACGGCCACCGUAAUUGAUUUUAUUUGGAGACAUUUGAGUAUUAUGACCUGUUAUGUGUAGAUGGAUUCCAGAAGGAUUAUGGUGGUUUAGACAACUACUUGCGGUUGUAUUUUCUGCCGUUAUGGGAAUUCAGUCGCAUGUUGCAAUGGUUCUCCUGAAAUGAGUUAAGUGAAAGGUUGCUAUAUGAUAGAGUGUUUAUUCUAUUAGUGGAUCAGGAGUUAUGAUGGAAUUCUUGUACUCCCACGUAUUGGUAUGUUGGGUGUAGUGAGUGGCAUGAGAAUCGGAAGUUGAGGAUCAAGGUUGUAGUUUGGUAUCGACAAGAAUGUCAAGGGCUCGGAUGAUCAGGGAAGAAUUCAGAUGCUUAGAGUAAGCUGGUAUUGUCUUUAGCAUCACCUGAGAUCGGUGUCCUGUGUAAAAGGCUUUGUGUACUUAUUAGAGGAUUCUCGAUUUGCCAUACAACAUUGUGUGGCCAGUGGCAUGGAUGUGCAGACUUGGUUACCUGGUGUGGAAGGUCACGGGAGCGUAUCCCACAGAAAGAUUGUAUAAGUGUGACAUAUAGUCACUUUAUUGAUUAAAGAUUGAAACCAAGUAUGGAGAUUAUGGUACUAUUGCUAAUGUGAGAAUUUAUGCCUGAAGAGCGCUCAGUUCAUUUGGUUGUGGACUGUGGAAGUUUGUUCCGGAUUUGGAGGUUGUUCUUUUAUGUCAUGGGAAAAAGGGGUUAUUGUGGAUCCUUGAAAGGUUAUUAGCCUAGUGCAGUACAAUCAGAAUCGGCUUGAGGUCUGUGGGUGGAUCUAGAGGUGAAUGUGGGCUCUAUAUCAGGCCGGAUGUGUUCAUUUCAGCAUAGCGUUGUUUACACAGGAGUCUUCGGAACUUAGAUGUUAUUUCUGUCGUCAGCUAUUCCAUGUAAUACUUUAUUGUGCCAUGCGGGUUGGGAGAGGGCCUGAUUAUUUGCACAUGUGUUGGGGUCCCGUAUAGCUUGCGGUGUUAUAUGAGCAGGAUGGAUCUUGAGAUGCAGGUCAUUUAUUACACCUUAGUCGUGCUUGAGUUUUGCAGUGUAUGGCGCUAUCUGUCUCCCCCAAUGAUGGUAUUAUUCACUUGGCGUGCUUCUGGUCGACAUUCUGGUAUUUCCCAGGUAUGAGCACUCUAGCUCGGUAAGUAUUUCCUUAUAGAUUGUUAUGUGUAGAUCGGGUGGCACGCCGCCACGGGUAUGUUGGUUGGACCCAGUGGCACGCCGCCAGGGGUAUCAUGAUUGGACCGGGUUGCACACCGCAACAGUAUCAUGUGUGGAUCGGGUUGCACGCCGCAACAGUGUGAUGUUGAGUACAAUUCCCCAUAUCUAUUCUUGUGUAUUUUGUUUCUCAUUUUUUGCCUAUAUCCGGGUAGUUUUAGGUUUACACCAUGCCUUGUUGAUACUGUUAUUUGAUUAUGUUUAUUAUUUGUCUUGGAAAGAAUUGAGGUUGAGUAUGCUUGCUAAUUGCCUUGAAAAGAGUUGAAAUUGAGAAUUUCGAGAUUUGAAAGUUUUCAUUUGAAUUUUGUAUUUUUGAAAAGAAUUGAGGAAAAUUAUAAUAAGUUGAGAAAUCUAUGUUCAACCGCGUGUCGCGCCCUGUUUUCUCGCGAAAGCGGGUUUCGACGUCAUGAAAAAUCUUUUUUGGGGGGGGGGAGAUAGGGUGUUAAAAGAAGAAGAGUCGCCACCUAGUAUUUUUUUAAGGUGCGUUAGGAAACCUAUUUGCAAAUAACUAUGUUUGACUAGUCAACGCCACCAAAGAUCGGGUAAGGGCUCAAAUUACCUCAAAGAGAAGGUGUUAGGCACUCCUCGAGGUCCACAACUGCGGGUCCCGGCCAAACUUAAGACUAUGUGGAUUAUAAUUAGGCAAGAUAAACAAAGAGAGUAUGGGUCAAAUGAAUCUAUUAUAACAUGAGAGAAAUAAGGAUUACAAGGAUACAACUAUUAAGUCUAUGUUAAAUGACUAAUGUGUAAAGAAAAGAGGGGGGUCCUAAGUUUUUUAGCCUAAAGGAUCACCCUGUGCAACAUAAAUAAUACUUCGCAACUCCCUUGAGGUAGGAAAUUAUUCAUAUUAUUCAGCGGGCACAGACUAUUAUCUCCUGCUACCCGAUUACUAUGUUAAAGUUGUUUACCUAAAAGCGCUCUAAUUCAAUUCUAAGUCGUGCUCUAUGCGUACACUACCCGCCCCAUACCUAGGGUCCAGGAGGCAUUGGACCUCUAUUUAGGGCGGUUCUAGACUUAACUUAGGUUGCUCAAAAUAAUAAAACUAGGCGACAUACAAAAUAAGUUGGACUUCAAAUAUGGGCAAUUAAGGGCUCAAGUUAGCCUCCACACUUAGACAAUAAAUUCACGCAAAACAGGUUUUCAUGUUAGGCAGUUUCAGAAUUAAAAUCCUUAAGCCAUAUACGCGUGAUUUCUAGGUGACCUUGGAUUCAAACGCGCAUAUAUAACAUUAUUUCCUUUAGUGGCUUAGACGAGGAGGCAGUAGACCAUCUGCUGUUAACGCCGGUUUUAGAUACCAGUUUUAGAAGAGUGAUAUUGUCCUAUAGACAUGAUAUCUAAUAGUGGCAUAGUUAAACAAAUGAGAAUAGUUCUGGAAACCCAGCCUUGACAAGUAGAUAAACAAUAUUAAGCGAAUGACAGUAUCCUAUAGGUAGGAUCUCUAGCAAUUGACAAUCGAGCCUUGAUUUUAUAACACUUUACCUCUAUGAGCAGGUUACCUAGGCGGAGCAAUAACAAUAAUAGUAGCUAAUUGAUUAAUUAAGGUCCUAUAGACAUGAUUUCUAGGUGAAAAUCAAUAGAACAUAAGCUAGUGGGAUCUUAUAGGUAUGGUAUUUAAUGAAUAUGAAGCAGUUAUGCGGAUUGAGAGAAUGUUUAUUUCUUAUAGGUAUGUUGUCUAGUAACACAUAGCAGUAGAAUAAAAUAGAGUGUUUACACCCGUGCUUCGAUGAUAGACAAGUUAUGUGUGUGUGUGUGAGUUUCCUAAAGGCAUGGUUUCUACCAGUGGAAGCAAGUCAGGUAAAUCACAUGAACCCUAUGGGCAUGUUUUCUACCCUUGCAUGCAAAUAGUAGAUUAUACUCGUUCCCCAAAUUUCACUAACACCCCCAAUUAUUUAUUACAAAGUUAUUACAGACCCAAUGAUGAAUGUAGUUACAAAAUUAUAAAAGCACUAAUAGUAGGCCCGCAGCAGGCCCAAAAGGAAAUACCCAGCAUUGCCUGGGCCUUCAACAACUCUCAUAGCAUACCCAGAUUUCCAACAUGGAACUAUAUUCAUCAGCACAGCCCGGAAAUCAUAGAGGAAUUCAAGCCAAACCAAACAGCAAUAGAUUGACCAUAUUACCCAAACAUUAAAUCACUUAAACCAACCAAUUUACAUAUUCAGUAGAUAGAAUGAGGGGAGAACUGAGUGUUAGAGAUAGCUCAAGCCUCAGUAGUAAAGAGAGUGGCUAAAAGACCCCAAAUCCUAGUAUGUCAGAGUUCACAAGAGUCUCAAAUGGACCCCGAGCAGUGCUCACACUAGGGAGGUCAGUAGUAAGAGUCUUAGUGGCCUUGGCUUUUAGCCGGACAAGAAUGAUAGGUUCCGAAUAGCACAGGUACCAAAUAAGAGUCAGUGGACAAUGGUUAAGGGACAAAAAUUGAGGAAAUACACUUAUAGCUUAAAGUAGACAUAGCAUAAUUGAAAACAUAGAACGUACUAGUUAAGAAGGCCAACAAGACUUAGAAGUAGGUUCAACACUUAGCAAAAUAACGCAUUAACAUAAAUGUGUUGAAAGACUUAGGGGAGAAACAAGUUCGCAAGAUUAACAAGAUUAUCAUACAAAGGUGCAUAAUACCAAACAAGUCUAAGUAGGGCACUAACUUAAAAGGUUUAAAGCCUAAAGGUCCAAAUUAUGCUAAGGAUUCAUCACAAUAUCAUAAGACAACCAUGUUAACUUAUAUCAUGAAACAGAACAGUAUCAAACAUGGUAGGGAAACACAAAUUAAGAAUAGCUAUUCCAAAGGUCUCAAAUAAUCACUACGGCUGCAAACCAAAACAUGUUGGGGGACAUACUAACAGAAGACCAAGUCAUAGUUGAUAGUGAGGAUCUUAAGACACAUUAUAGGAGUUCAAAACAGAGUGAAAAUGCAAGCUCAAUGUCAAAUAGCAAAUGUAGACAUUCAGGUAUCAACAUUAGGCUAAUACGAACUUAACAUGGUCUAAAUCAUUCAAGCGAACCAUAUUCAAAUAACAUAUCUCAGAACUGGUAGCUUUAGGUGAAAUUAAAUACUAAAGAGGCUCAAAGCGAGUGUAAAGCUAACAAAGUUGUACACAAAAGUAGUUCAGAAACACAUUGAGCCAUGAAUUUCAGAAAUAAGAAUAUGCAACUCUUAAAAGACACACAAGAACGAAAUUGCAAAAGUCAAGUGACUUACCAGUUAAACGGAUAACAAUAAAGAAAAAAAUUCCACAGUAUUCUGAAUCAACAAAGAGCAAGAACCCAAAAUCUUAAUGCGUCAAAGUUCCCAAGGGCUUCAAAGGAACCCCGGAAAAUGCUCGCACCAAGAAAAUGUUGAAAAAUCGAAUCCCAAUGGCCUUGGCUUUCAGCCGGCAAGUACAGAACAAGAAAAUGAGGGAAUAACAGAACAAAUAGCUUCAAUUUUUUAGUGAAAUCUAACAAUUAAGGUAUAUUUCAAAGGGGAAUGGGGAAAGGUUUAUAUAGUAGUAGAAAUCCGGCAAAGAAAUAAGAAAUAUUGUAAAAUUAACAUAAAUAAGGAAAUAAUAUCAUGUAGAAUCAGCAAAAAGUCAGAUUAGAGAAAGAUUAAGUAAACCCUAAUUAAUCGGAAAUUGGCCGGAGAUCUUAGCUAAUCAGACCCAUAUAGCCUGGCCAUGAUGCAUAUGGACGAGAUAUCAUCCAGAUUUAAGCGAUUGAAGUUGAAUGGCCAGAAUCUGAGAGAUAGUACUUGCCAUGCUGAGGCAAGUACUAAGUGAUACCAUGAUCAUGCGGGUAGUACUAAGAUAACACAUAAAAGGCAAAAAAAUCAUGAAAAGAAUCUAUGGUUGAGACGAAUUUGGAGAAAAUUGAGAUGGCGGCUAGGAUUUCUAAGGAGAGGAGAAGAGAGGAUUCAAGGGCGGAAUAUGAGAGAAAAUGAUAGGGUUUUGGGGCGGGUUAGGUUAACUAAAACGGGAGAAUGGCUAUUGGUCGUUGAUCAUUUGAGAUUAACGGCUAGGAUUAGAGGGGAAGUGAGGUAGGUCACAGAACGGGUCCCGACCGGGUUAUACUAAAGGGGUCAUUUGGUCUUGUCCAGGGGGUUAGGCUAAGGAUACUAGGCGAAUUUUGGUUCAAAAAUUAGUUUAAAGUUGGGCUACUAUUUAAAAUAUACAAAAAUAAUUUAUAAAAACACUUGAUAAAUAAAUAAAAAUAUUUAUGUACUAAAAUAAUUAAAAAUAAUAACUUAGUAUUAUAAAAAUAUAAAAUACUAUUUUGACACAAAUAAUAUAUAUAAAAACAUUUAUGCAUGAGUAUAGGCUAUUACUACAAAAUUGUGCAAAUAGCUUAACAAAUGCUAAUGUAAUUAUAUAAAAUGAAGUAAAAUUAUUUAAAAUAUAUAUUAUAGGUGAAAAUAAUAAUUUUAGGUAACUAAGUCAUCACAAAAUAAUUUGAAGAAGUAAUUAAUAAUUAUUCAAGUAAUUUAAGUACAAGAAAAUCAAUUUAAAAGCUUUAAAAAUUAUGGAAAAUUAUAGAAAAUGCUCGUAUAGAUUUUCAAGCUAAAUAAUGAUGCAAAAAUGAUGUUUUUAAAGUAUAUAUAUACUAUUUUAGAAAAUAUGAGUGCCAAAUUGGGUAUCAACACCGCGUCGCAAAUAUAUUCUGCGAGUGGGGAAAAUUUUCACUACUCUCAUGGAAGCGGGCCGUUCGCCUCGACAAGUUAAUAGAUGCAUCUAUGGUUCGUAUCGUUCGACCCUCAGCAGUGCACAGUUUAUAUUUAUAUGUUGGAUCGGAUCGUACGACCUCGACAUGACUUGCGCAUGAUAAUUCUUUGGAACUAAUAAUAAUUGAUAUUGUUCCAUUGGCUUGAGAUACAAAUUGUUAAAUGAUAAAAAUAAAUUUGGAAAUAUGUAUUAGUAAAAGGAUUGUUUAUUAUUUUUGGCUAUUUAGUUUCCAGUUAUAUUAUGUAAUUCAUGCUUAAUUAUAACAUCGGUAUUUUAUUGUUCGCCCAUAGUAAGUGUCAGAGUCGACCCCACGUCACUACUUCUUCGAGGUUAGACGGGAUACUUACUGGGUACGUGAUUUACGUACUCAUACUACACUUGCUGCACAUUUUUGUAUAGGUACAUAUAUGUCUCGUGGCGUUGUGGGUGCAGAGGCAUGGUUAAUGCUGGGACUUAGGUGAUUGCAUUCCAUGUUACGAUUCGCAGUCAGCAGAGUCUCCUUCAGAGCUAUUUAUAUUUUUCCUGUCUAAUAUGUGUUCCGGACAGAUGUUGUAUUUUAUUUUACUCCUUAGUUGAUGUUCAUGCACUUGUGACACCAGAUUUUGGGGUAAUUAUGGAUUGUUCAGUAUUAUAAUUUUGAAAAUAUUAUCACCUACUCUAUAAAACUUUAUCUCUUAUUAUUUAAUUGAAGGAAAAAAUUUGAUUUCAAAAUACUAAAAUGAGUAAUCAAGUUAAUCAAUUAUCGUUAGCUUGUCCUACAACGGGUUAGGCGCCAUCACGACAUUUAACGGAUUUGAAUCGUGACAGAACUGAUUUCAAUAUCAUAACUAUUAUUUCUAAAGUUGUAAUACAUCCAGAAAACUAUCAAAGAGCUUAUAUUGAAUUACCUCCAAACAGCUUAAGGAGGAAACAUUAUGACCAAAUGAAGGCCAGCCACUCCACAGCUAAAUGCAGAAAAUCAGCAAAUACUCUCAGCAACUUAAGAACAGCAUAAUCAACCACCACUCAAAAUCCCACUAGAAUUGAAACAAAAACCAGUAGAAAAAAAAAGGAAAGAGAAGCAGCUUUGAAUUCUUUCUUUUUGUUAUAUUUUCUGUAUCUAGACUUGAACUUUUCAACUUCUUUAUUUUUUGAAAAAAAAAAAAAUUAGUGUGGGUGAGAAAAGUAGCGUGAGGUUUUUUUGUAGACUUUUGUGUGUGUGAAAGGGAAGUGUGAGGUCUCUUUUAUAGAGUGUAAGAGGAAAAGGGGAGGAUAAAAAGGAAUCUUGUCAGCUAAAAAUUAGGGGAGGGCGUCUAUUUUUUUUAACAGAAAAUAGACAGCUGUCAUAUUUUUUUAGCAGCUGUCCUUUUCUCUAUUUUUUUCAGCACCAUACCCUUUUUUAAAGUAACCUUUUUACCCCAACGUCUAACCUAAUUUCUGGUUUUCAUUACACUUUAACCUCUUUUCUGGAAGCUUCCUAAGUAACUACUCAGAUUCUCUAAUUUUGGUGUACUCUCUAGUCUACUCAAUUCUUGCAAAUUACUUUUCUUUUAACAUUCUAUAUUACCUCCAAACAUGCAGUCUUUUAUCCAAAUUUACGGCUCUUUUUUCCUUAUCACAAUUAAACUAAACAAAGCUAAACUAGCACUAGGAUAACAACACAAAGUAAACCUAAAUUAUCAACUAAUUAACGUAUUAAUUAGGAAAAUAGAUAAUUUAAACAAGCAACACGAUUAUCAAAUGAUUUCAGAUUCAACUAAAACAAAUAACCACUUAGAAAGUCAAAAUAAUUUUAAUUAUAAACCUAAGCAUGCUUGGAUUAACAGAAAUCACCAAUUAACCCAAUCACACACUCACAUGAAAGGCGUGUAUUUGAAAUACUAAUCUAAUCGGACAAUUAAACACACAGAAUGCAAUUGUAGUUCAAGGCAAGACAGUAGUGAUGCUACUUUAUUUUGCUAAAAUGAACUAACUUGAACAAUUACAAUUAACAUAAAAAUUAAUCUGAACUAACGACACAUUAAUGAGAAAAGAGCAGAGGAGAGAAAUACCUAUAGUGUUUGAAUGGGUUGUCAAAAGAAACGGAUUUCCGGCAAGCCGGAGAAAUUGCCACACAAACACUGGCCGGAUUUCUCCAUGCGAGAUAUUGUUCUAUGCAGCAAAUAUCUCCUACUGACCCGAUAAAAUGAAGCAGAACAAGGCGAGGAUGAGUUGUGCGACCCAAUGGAGCUUGACCAAGGUUCUGGUGGUCAUGAGAUCAGUAAAGUUCAUGCAAUCAUCAAGAGAAGUCAACUGGUGUAGGUUUCGAUCUCAAAUGAGCCAGAAUUAGGGACAAAUUAAAAAAGGGAAAACUUUAAGGUUUUUGCGAUUUCUUAGAUUUGAAAUUAAAGGAUUUUGGGGAGGUUUUCUGGGAAAAUUGGUAGGAGAUUUGGGAUUAGGAGGGGAAGGAGAUUGUAUGGUGAUAAAAUUGGGCCAUUUGGUAUGGUGCCGCCGCCAUAGGGUGAUUUUCGGCGGCGGUAUGUCAGGAGAAGGGUAAUAGAUUGAGAGAUGGGGGAAAUGAAGGGGUUCU
This 11590-nucleotide long non-coding RNA is filed under the name Nicotiana tabacum (common tobacco). RNAcentral's name for it is "long non-coding RNA (NTAB_LNC010495)". Lineage: Eukaryota; Viridiplantae; Streptophyta; Magnoliopsida; Solanales; Solanaceae. The record is from RNAcentral.